Molecule: long non-coding RNA, 5320 nt
Organism: Cavia porcellus (domestic guinea pig)
Lineage: Eukaryota; Metazoa; Chordata; Mammalia; Rodentia; Caviidae
Exons: 3
Source: RefSeq, a predicted model, not a curated record
CUGAUGACAUCAAAAAGGCUAAAUUACUUGCCUAAGGGCUUACUGUUAUAAAGGAUCAGAAGCAGGUUUCAGAGCUGACUCUAAAAGCUGAUCUCUCUUUGGAAGGCAUCAUUCUGACAGUUUAUAACUUUAUUUACUAAUGUGUUUCGAGCUGGACACUGAUCUUGGAGUUGUGGGAACCCCAAAAGUGCGAACGCUGCCUUCUAUCAGAAGAAGUUGGAACUCUUCUCUCAUUGUUUGGCUCUCUGGAGGAACCUCGGUUAGUAACAGUCCUCCUGGCUUCCGGUCCCAUUCUUCCUGACUUUCUGCCAGGGCAGAUGAGACAUUCCCAUAUCGGGAGUAUGUAAUACUCAAGAUUUAUGGGCAAUAAUAAUCAUUGGAGGAAAUAAUACUACUUGAAGGCCGUUGUUUCAAUGUCAUGAUUUUGUGUGCUGCUGAGAAGGGAGGUUGCAAAACAGGAAAUGGAGGAUAAAUGGAUUCUACAAGUGACUCUCAGGGUGGCAAGGUGAACAAAACAACAAGGAUAGAGAAAAAAUGGAUGCACAAAUUGAAGAAGGAAGACAUAUGGCCUGCUCCUAACGGAACAACCUUCACCACAGCAUUGCUGCCUUCCUGGGGCUGCCUUCUGCAUCCCAUGAGACUACAGCCCUCAUUAUUUGCUUCCUUCCUAGUGAGAUAACUCUCGACACUGCAGGUCCACAGGAACCCAGCCAUCUACCAAGUGACAGUGACAGUGACACAGACCUUCAAACCCAUUCGUAAUUUUAAGCUGUUAGUAGGAAAAUUUUUCUUUCUGUCAGACACAGGAGAGGGAGCACAUGGAAUUGUCUGAAGUUCUGGCUAAGUGUGGCCUUUCAUCAUGAAUGAUGGAUGGAAGAGCCGUGUUGAAAACAGCAUCGUUUAGUAGUGGACUCGGGUUCUUAACCCCAAAAGCUUCUCCAGCUAUUGUUGAGUUUGUGAAAUGCUUGUGUCUUACAGUAUAAAAUGUUAUGUUUAGAUGAGUUAAACAUGUUUCUGCCUGUUUGACAGACUGUACUAAUUCUAUCAUUCCUCAAUAAGAAAUCACUCUUAUUAUUGUAAUUAUUGUAAUGGGAAGUCAGAUGGCACACUUUUCUUCUGCCUUCUUUAUUGAUUAUCUGUCAUCUGUAUUUCCUGCUCCAUUUAAAAUUUUCUAGAUGGUUUCAGAUACUCCAUAAAGGUCGGAUGAACUGGUUGUUAGGAAGCAAGUACAUUAGGAGUCAGUAGUAUCUGAAUUAAAAUCCAAGCAACCUGUGAGUAAAGGAAACAACUUUAGAAUGCUGAUCUGGGUGAGACUUUUGUUAUUCACUUUAUGAUUUUUCUAAGUCAUGUUUUUGACAUAGCUAUAUUUUCGAUGUACAUAUGUAUAUUUGAAUGUACUCAAAGAUAUGUGUAUUUGUGUGCAUGCAUAUGUUUCUGCUAGGUCUCAACAUGACAGAGUGGAAGGCAGAUGGUCAUUUAAUGAUAUAAAAGGCCACAACCAAACCUUAAAGACAGUCCACUUAAAAUUUUGAGACUUUAGAAAAGUUUCUUUUUCACCCUCACUGUUCUAACUGAUUAAAUAGGAAUAAAGAAUUUAUAGGGCCUAAGAUAAUUCUGGGCAUAUGUAGUUGUAGAAAUAGUAACUUUAGGGGCCAGAAAUUUAGCUCAGCAGCACAAACACCUGCCUGGAAAGCACCAGAUCCUGAGUUUGAUCCUUGAUACAAAACCAAAAAAAAGUAAAUUUAUUUUUCUCCUUCUUAGUAUAGUAUAUAAUCUAGUCUUUUCAUUCUUUUUAUCUUAUUAAACUCAUAACUAUUAGAAAUAUAGAAUUUAUUAUCAUGCGUAAAAAUGACUAGAAAUUAUUUCUUUAGCUGAAUUAUUUUGGCAAUUUUUGUUUGUAUUACUUAGUUCAAGAAGUAUGAAUACAUAAAAUAUAUAUUCCUCCUGCUUCACUUAUAUAACUGGUAAUAGCUGUCAUUACCAUUUAUCCUAGAUGAAGUCUCAGAAUUCUCAACACAGUGCCAGCCUCUACCAUCAAUCCACCAGACUCAGCUGUUAAAAUGAUUUUCAAAAAUCCUGAUCAUUUUUUUACUGGCUCACACGCAGGUGGACUGAGAACAAGACAGAGUGAUCCCCUACCACUUCCGCAGGUAGUAAUGAGAGAAAUCUCCAGAUCUUUUUUGGAACAGAAAUAUUCAAUAGCAGAAAGAUCCCAGUGAAGCCCUUUGUACAUCCCCUCAUUUCUUCAGCCAGCGUCCUUGGUCCCCAUGCCAAGAGAAUAAGCUGACUCAGCUCUGCUGUUCUUGCCAAGUCUAUAAACUAUUCUCAUCAACCCUUGGUCUGAAAAUCUGUCUUCAGUUUUCAUGUUUAUUUCAGAGUGUAGAUGCCUUUUCCCUGUUCUUUGUUCUAGAAAUAUAUUGGAUCCAACGUAGAAAGCUGUACUAAGGACCUACUAUGUGUUGAGUACACUCACUAUUCAUGCCAGGCACAAAAGGCUAUCUCAUCUCUCAUGGUGCUCUGAGGCAGAUGGCAGUAGUCAGAUGCUGACGCAAGUAGGUAUGUUAGAAUUGCACUGCUGAAGAAAAGCACAUUCAUUCAUUUAAUUACUGGCUAAUUACCUUCAAAACUCAGGACAAAAGUAGGAAUGUAGUUGAUUUGGUUUGUUAAAAUCUAAACCUUAGAUAUUACCAACUCGUAAUGGAUGCAACCUCAAAUUACAUCAUCUUCAUCUACAUAUGUUUGCCUUUAAAAAGUGAUUUAGUCCCACUGGCUAAACAGAUUUUUAUUUUCUGAAUGUGCCUUUGCAGAAAUGAGUUCAUUCUUUGGAAUAACCUUCAAAUUCAUUCAACAAGCCUAUUAUUUCCAGAAAAUGGACUAAGUUCUAAGGAGAGGGAAACAGCUCCAAGUCCAGAAAGGUACCCAAAUAAGUAAUUAACAUAAAGUGGAGGCCAGGUGUUCCAUGGCAUUUGAACUGAUACUGAUUGGAUGGUCAGAUGCUCACUGAAUGAUGCAGGGUCUCGGGAGAAGGACUCAGCCAGUCAUCAAGUGCUGGAGCAAUUUAUGAAGCAAUAAGGUGAAUAGUCUGUUAGAUUUGUGGGGUGAGAAAGGAGAAGUUAACAAGAUGGAAGAGUGGGAAAAAUGAGAUAGAACUCAGGCUCAAGACAUGAGGAGUCCUGAAGUUCAUGUCAAAGAGUUAAAAAUCUUAACUAUAAGUAGUUAGAAAGACAUUGCUGUAACAAAAGCCCCUGAGAAAAUCUACUUAAAAGGAAGAAAGGUUUAUUUUGCUUCAGAGUUUCAGAGGGUUCAGUCCAUGGUUGCUUGACCCUGUCACUUUGGGGCAGUAAUGACACAGGUAGGAGAUAAAGAGAGCCACACCAAAGCAGAGAUAAAAACUCUGGUAUGACAUAUUUUAUGUACAGAUGUUUUUCCUCUGCCAUCCCAGAGGGAAUUAAGGAUUCUCAUUUUAAACUAAUUCUGUUUUUUUAAUUUUAAAGUGUAAUUACUAUAUUUUUGGCUAUUAAAAAAUAGAAGAUUAACGGAUUAAAUUAUGCAACCUUUAAAGGAAAUCUAAACAAAUUUAUUGAACCUAAAUUCUAAAGCAGAAUUUUGAAAUGUUCUGAACCAUCACAAUGCCAUUGGGAUAAUGUAUGACCUGACUAAUUUUCUCAACCUUUUGUUUUUCACUCAACACUCAGUUAUAAAGGCCCUAUUUUAUCUUGAGUUCUGAGCAAUAUGAAUGAUGAGGAUAUAGUCGUUUGGAAGGAGCCAAAUAGAGAAUCUUGUGCAUCAGGUUACAAAAUGUUUGCAUUGUUUUGAAAAUAAUUGUAAAACAAGAGUUUAUUUUGGAGACUGUAGGUAUGAUUGUUAAAAUAGUUUUUAAAAAAAUCACUCUUAUACUUUAAUUCACACUUUAUACUCCAGGCAACGUUAAUACUAGAGGAAAGGUCCCCAUGAUGUAUUUUGCACAUUUAUCAAAGAACAGAUUGUAGCAAAAGACUCUGCUUCUGUGACAAUAGCUUUGAUUAACACCUAUCAAAAUAGAACCAUCAUUUGCUCACUUAAGCACUUAUUAAAUAACCCAAUCUGCUACUGAAUUAGAAGACAGAUGCCUCUAUUUCCACACUCCACACCUGCUGAGAGGGCAGUUGCCACCUUCCUCUUCCGGCCCCAGCCACAAGUGACCUUACCCACAGGGAGUCUCAAGCCUGUGCCAGCGAGGUUCUCAGAGCUUUAAAUGUAGAUACUUUCUUAGGGUGAACCCUGCCAUGUUAUCGGUGCCGUUGUAUAAGCCUACAAGGUAAAAGUCCAGUAAUGGUAUCUACCAGAAUGGUAGCCAUUCGGAAUGACUAAACACUCCGGUAAGCUUUCAUUAGUCUGGACCAAGUGCUAUGUCAUCUGUAAAAGUAUGACAAUCGGGAUCCUGUAGAACCCAUGACAAGUGAUGUCCAACCGUUUACUACUCCUGGGACCAACUUACCACUAUACUCCCUUUUUUUGUACGUGGCUGCAUUUUAUUCUGUAAUAUCCAUUUUAGUCUUGCUCUUUGAAGCUAAACAAUACAAUCAUGCUAAAAUUCCUGACAGCUUGUCUGUAGUGGGUCUUCCUUUUCCUCAGCUAAGCAACUAGCUUUCCUAUAGUCUUCAGUAGCAUCCUGCUAGGCCCUCUGUUAUCCUCAAUACUUUCUGGGAGACUCACUCCACGUCUUCAGGGUUCCCCGUUAAAAUGUGAAACCAAGGACUGCACUGAACACAGUACCCUAAAGGCAAUGUCACCAGGAAGCAUGUACAGCACUGUUAAUCCCUUGUAUUCUGAUACUGGACCAAAAAUCUUCUUUGUUCUUUGUCUAGCAGCCAUAUUGAUAAUUUGUUGUUUUCUCAGCAGCUUUGCACUUGCCGUUCUGUCUGUCAGGAGAGCUCUGUCCUCAUGUGGCUCUGUGCUCACUUCAUUUUGUCCCAGUGUCCUCUCCUCCAUGCUUCCCAGCUUCCUUCCUCUCUUGGGUGGCUUCAUUUUUCUCCUGAAUCUAUUAGCAUCUGCUAUAGAAUCAUCUUAUGAAUGUGCAGUUUGUCUUCUUAAAAUGUGUACUCCCUGUGGCAAGAGGUUGUUUUGUUCUCCACUUCAUCUCUCUGGCACAUGGAAUAUAGAAGACAUUCAAUAAAUAAUUUUGAACUUAUUGAAAAUCGAGUGUGCAGUGAGCUGCAAGUUCUGGUACCUUUUCUCACAAAAUGCUGUUAGGUUAAGUCCUUUUCCACUUGCAAUUGAUUGCAUUAAAGAACCUAGAUUUGUUGUUAAACACAAUACAAAUAGGGGAAGAAAACCUCAG